This 253-nucleotide ribosomal RNA is filed under the name uncultured bacterium. Its description in RNAcentral is "partial 16S ribosomal RNA". It matches the Rfam family "Bacterial small subunit ribosomal RNA", at positions 524 to 776 of the family's 1533-position model. The record is from RNAcentral.
GACAGAGGGUGCAACCGUUGUUCGGAUUUACUGGGCGUAAAGCGCGUGUAGGCGGCUUCGUAAGUUGGAUGUGAAAUCCCACGGCUCAACCGUGGACGUGCAUCCAAAACUACGUCGCUGGAGUCUCGGAGAGGAAGGUGGAAUGCUUGGUGUAGAGGUGAAAUUCGUAGAUAUCAAGCAGAACACCUGCGGCGAAGGCGGCCUUCUGGACGAUGACUGACGCUGAGACGCGAAAGCGUGGGGAGCAAACAGG